Molecule: long non-coding RNA, 207 nt
Filed under: Prunus dulcis (almond)
Lineage: Eukaryota; Viridiplantae; Streptophyta; Magnoliopsida; Rosales; Rosaceae
Description: sRNA ncRNA
Source: RNAcentral
AUGGCACGGUUUGGCACAUCUUCAGCUAGACUUCUUAUGGUCAUGGUUGCUGCAUUAUUUUAUGUGACCAAAACUAUGGCACAGAAUACCGCCACACCACCUGCCCCGUUACCGGUGACCGGAGCCGGGUUUGCUUCUCCGGUUUCCAUGGCGUUGAUCUGUUCUUCUAUGUUGGUCUCUCUUACAGCUGCUUUUUCUUUUUGCUAG